This 1138-nucleotide long non-coding RNA is filed under the name Mytilus galloprovincialis (Mediterranean mussel). Lineage: Eukaryota; Metazoa; Mollusca; Bivalvia; Mytilida; Mytilidae. The record is from RNAcentral.
UAGACGACGAAACAAUGUCGGUAUAUGCAUAGGGGUCUCUAUAUCAUAAUUGUCACUAGCACAUACGAAGGUUAAAACAAGUUUUGCGUUCCCUUGUCAACAUCUUAUUGUUAUUGUCUCGCUUGACGGAGUCAAAAAGCGAGACAUAGGUUAACUGUUUCCGGUUCGGCGUCAACAAUGUAUUAAUUUGUGAUUAGGUUUAGUUUAUGGUGAACCACUAUUGGUAAGUCACAUAUAUUUAAUAUGCAGUUGUAUCAGUAUUGGCACAUUUAAUUACCAUGGAUAUUAUUUGGCCCUACCCGCUUUUGUUUAUUUUUCAUGUAUUAAUUUUUGAUAAGGUCGGAUUUUGGGCAACCACUAGUGGAAGGUUACUGAUAUACAUGUACAUGUAUGGUGUGCAGUUGUAUUUUCAUUGGUGUGUCUCAUUGCUGUUCAGUAAAUGUGUCCCCGCUACCUAAUGUAUGGUUUAUUGACUUUGAAAUUUUGCUUAGUUUACUUGUUUAAGUUUGUGUUUAGCUGUUUAAAUUUUCAUAUUAUGUCUAAUUCAAGAAAAUAUUUAAAAUGUUUUAUGAGAUAUAUAGACAGAAGAUGUGGUAUGAUUGCCAAUACGACAACUCUCUAUAACAGACCAAAUGACACAGAAAAUAUCAAAUUUAGGUUACCAUACGACCUUCAACAAUGAGCAAACCCCAUACCGCAUAGUUAGCUAUAAAAAGCCCUGCAAUGACAAUGUAAAACAAUUCAAACGAAAAAAGUAACGGCUUAAUUUAUGUACAAAAAAUUAACGAAAACCAAAUAUGUAACUGAUAAACAAACGACAACCACAGAGUUAAAGACACCUGAUUUGUAACAGGUACAUGCAUACAGAAUAUGGCGGAGUUAUGAUCUUUGUUUUCAGAAGAAAUAUAAUAAGAAGACCCCCGCCACCCCUUUAAUAUCAUAAUGCCUAUGUGUAAAGUUAUAAAACUUAUAAAUGUAAAAAAUAAUAAUUCCAAUUUUAUUUUAUUUGUCUUAAUUUGAUUUUAGUUCCUACAUAAGUAGCAAGAGGCUUUUGCAAAAGGCUUUGUGUUGCUGUUAUUUACAAUAGCCUGCUUUUUUUACCUCUUAGAUCUGACUAUAUUGAUUAUGUUGAAUUAUU